UCCCCUUGACCUACUGAACUAGUUACUUCACCCAACUUUUCUUCAUGUUGAAACCCAAGACUGACAGAUGCUUCAGAGUCACUGGAAGCCAUCAGGGGAGCAUUAUGACAUUUCCAGGCAGCAGCAGCAAGUCAGCACUCUUGGGAAUUUCCCAGACCACCUGAUGACAGCAGCUAUCAUGCAUGCGGCCACUAGGAAGAUAUGGCUUCACAGAAGAGUUGCACAAGGGUCUGGCUGUGGAUAUUGGACAUUUUCCCAGCAACUCAUGAGUGAGGUCAUUAUCAUGCAGUUUCAUCAUUUUUGUUUGAAGGGAAUUCCCAGAACACCAACCGCUUUUAGAUUCUUAAUAUUAUACAGAAGUGCAUUCCAAAAUCAAAACACAGUCACAGUGAUUUGGGACUUUUCACCCCUCUGCUUCUUGCUAUU
Molecule: long non-coding RNA, 426 nt
Organism: Hipposideros armiger (great roundleaf bat)
Lineage: Eukaryota; Metazoa; Chordata; Mammalia; Chiroptera; Hipposideridae
Exons: 3
Source: RefSeq, a predicted model, not a curated record